Macrolepiota fuliginosa MF-IS2 is the source of this 110-nucleotide non-coding RNA. The record is from the annotation of a GenBank genome assembly. NCBI's taxonomy places the organism in Eukaryota, Fungi, Basidiomycota, Agaricomycetes, Agaricales, Agaricaceae.
GGACACAUGGUGUAGUUGGUUAUCACACCCGCUUUGCAUACGCCAACAUAGACGAUGUGUUCAUUCGUAGCAAUUGUAGAAGGCGACCGAUUCGAUUCCGGUCGUGUCUA